Molecule: ribosomal RNA, 353 nt
Filed under: Paracymus atomus
Lineage: Eukaryota; Metazoa; Arthropoda; Insecta; Coleoptera; Hydrophilidae
Description: partial 12S ribosomal RNA
Source: RNAcentral
CAUAUUUCAGAGCUAAAAUCAUAUAAACAAAAUAAUAAAUAUUACUUCCAAAUCCACCUUCAAAAUUUUAUUACAAAAAAAAUUAUCCGUAUAAAUAAAUUUAUUGUAACCCAUCUCUUCUUAUUUAUAAACUGCACCUUGAUCUGAUUUAAUUUAAAAUUAUAAAUCUUGAAUAUUAAAAAUUCUUUUAAAAUAUUCAACUACGACGAUAUACAAAUUUAAAAAACAAGUACAAUUAAUCGUGGACUAUCGAUUACAGGACAGGUUCCUCUGAAUAGACUGAAAUACCGCCAAAAUCUUUAAUUUUCAAGAACAUAUCUAAUACUAAUUUAACUUAAAACAUUUACAUUUAA